GGACUGGUAGCUCAGUGGUCAGAGCGAGCGGUGUCGGCAAUCAGUGCUCUCUUGGUCGGGGCUAGUCCCUGCUCGGAGGACCGCCUCCGAACGCAGAGCCUGCUUUCCGGCGCCGCUAGGGCGUGGGUUCGAAUCCCACUCAGUCCA
Aspergillus terreus NIH2624 is the source of this 147-nucleotide transfer RNA. It matches the Rfam family "tRNA". Rfam says of the family: Transfer RNA (tRNA) molecules are approximately 80 nucleotides in length. Lineage: Eukaryota; Fungi; Ascomycota; Eurotiomycetes; Eurotiales; Aspergillaceae. The record is from Rfam.